CUCUAUCCCAGUAGAAAACAGCAUAUAAUCAAUAUUGGCUGAUUUUGAAAACUAAGCAGGAUUGGACUUGGGUAGUACUUGGAUGGAAGACCACUAGGGAGACUACCUAGAAUGAUAGACU
RNAcentral lists this ribosomal RNA (121 nucleotides) under Notechis scutatus (mainland tiger snake). The record is from RNAcentral. Lineage: Eukaryota; Metazoa; Chordata; Lepidosauria; Squamata; Elapidae.